RNAcentral lists this transfer RNA (60 nucleotides) under Camelus bactrianus (Bactrian camel). It matches the Rfam family "tRNA", at positions 14 to 71 of the family's 71-position model. Rfam says of the family: Transfer RNA (tRNA) molecules are approximately 80 nucleotides in length. Their secondary structure includes four short double-helical elements and three loops (D, anti-codon, and T loops). The record is from Rfam by way of RNAcentral. RNAcentral also lists the same sequence under 2 other names. Lineage: Eukaryota; Metazoa; Chordata; Mammalia; Artiodactyla; Camelidae.
GGUGGGGAGAGCACAUGCCUAGAAAGCAUGGGGUCCUGGGUUCAAUUCCCAGCCCCUCCA